This 2523-nucleotide unclassified non-coding RNA is filed under the name Hevea brasiliensis (rubber tree). The record is from RNAcentral. Lineage: Eukaryota; Viridiplantae; Streptophyta; Magnoliopsida; Malpighiales; Euphorbiaceae.
UUCAAGGAAGACAAUUUUAUGAAACUUCAAGAUACCUUCACGAAACAGAAAGUUGGUGAUGGGAACAAGAGUUCAAAUGGUAAAGGGGGUGGAAGAAUUGCAAAAGCUGGGAAUGCUUCUGGUGGUUCUGACAUAUACAAGAUUGUGAAGAUGAUCAUGGAACGGAAAUUUCAACCAGUUAUAGUUUUCAGCUUCAGUAGAAGAGAGUGUGAACAACAUGCAAUGUCUAUGUCUAAACUUGAUUUUAAUAUCCAAGAGGAAAAGGAUGUUGUGGAGCAAGUAUUUAGUAAUGCGAUUCUUUGCUUGAAUGAGGAAGACAGAAACUUGCCUGCUAUUGAGUUAAUGUUACCGCUACUUCAGCGAGGCAUUGCUGUCCAUCAUUCUGGCCUUCUUCCUGUCAUCAAGGAACUUGUAGAGCUUCUUUUCCAGGAAGGCCUUGUAAAGGCCCUUUUUGCCACAGAGACAUUUGCCAUGGGUUUAAACAUGCCUGCAAAGACUGUUGUUUUUACAGCUGUUAAGAAGUGGGAUGGUGAUAGCCAUCGCUACAUUGGAUCUGGGGAGUAUAUCCAGAUGAGUGGAAGGGCUGGACGUCGUGGCAAAGAUGAGCGCGGUAUUUGUAUAAUAAUGGUUGAUGAGCGGAUGGAGAUGAAUACACUGAAGGACAUGGUUUUGGGUAAACCAGCUCCUCUAGUUAGUACAUUCAGACUGAGCUACUAUUCAAUUUUAAAUUUAAUGAGGCGUGCUGAAGGCCAGUUCACUGCUGAGCAUGUGAUAAAAAAUUCAUUCCACCAAUUUCAGUACGAGAAGGCUUUACCUGGUAUAGGGAAGAAGGUUUCAAAACUGGAGGAGGAGGCUGCUGUGCUUGAUGCUUCAGGAGAGGCUGAAGUGGCUGAAUAUCACAAGUUAAAACUUGAGAUGGCUCAACUCGAGAAGAAGAUGAUGGCAGAAAUAACUAGGCCUGAAAGAGUUCUUUAUUAUCUUUGCACUGGUCGACUGAUCAAGGUAAGAGAAGGUGGAACUGAUUGGGGUUGGGGAGUUGUGGUGAAUGUUGUUAAAAAACCUGCUUCUGGGUUAGGCACGUUGCCAUCACGGGUUGCUGGUUAUAUAGUGGAUACUUUACUUCAUUGCUCACCUGGAUCUAGUGAGAGUGGUUCACGGCCAAGACCUUGUCCACCGCAGCCUGGAGAAAAGGGUGAGAUGCAUGUGGUCCCUGUUCAGUUGCCUCUGAUUUCUGCUUUAAGUAAAGUCAGAAUAUCUGUCCCUUCUGACCUCCGACCGCUGGAAGCAAGACAAAGUAUUCUGCUGGCAGUGCAGGAGUUGGGAACUCGAUUUCCCGAAGGUCUUCCAAAACUUAAUCCUGUAAAGGACAUGAAAAUUGAGGAUCCUGAAAUUGUUGAUUUGGUCAACCAAAUUGAGGAACUGGAAAGGAAGUUACGUGCUCAUCCACUGCACAAGUCUCAAGAUGUGAAUCAGAUCAGAAAUUUUGAAAGGAAGGCUGAGGUGAAUCACGAAAUUCAACAGCUCAAGUCGAAAAUGCGGGAUUCUCAGCUCCAAAAGUUUCGUGAUGAAUUAAAAAACCGUUCACGAGUCUUGAAAAGGCUUGGCCAUAUAGAUGCUGAUGGUGUUGUCCAGCUGAAGGGCAGGGCAGCUUGCUUGAUAGACACAGGAGAUGAACUACUUGUUACUGAACUGAUGUUCAAUGGUACCUUCAAUGACCUUGAUCAUCACCAAGUUGCAGCUCUUGCAAGUUGUUUCAUUCCUGUAGAUAAAUCUAGUGAACAAAUACAUUUGAGAUCAGAGCUUGCCAAGCCAUUACAACAACUCCAAGAGAGUGCAAGAAAAAUAGCAGAAAUUCAAUAUGAAUGUAAAUUGGACUUAAAUGUGGAUGAGUACGUGGAAUCAACAGUGAGACCAUACUUGAUGGAUGUGAUUUACUGUUGGUCAAAGGGGGCGAGUUUUGCAGACGUUAUACAAAUGACUGAUAUCUUUGAGGGAAGUAUCAUAAGGAGUGCUAGACGACUAGAUGAAUUCUUGAACCAGCUGUGUGCGGCUGCUCAAGCUGUGGGGGAAGUCAGUUUGGAGAAAAAAUUUGCAGCAGCGAGUGAAAGCUUGCGCCGAGGUAUUAUGUUUGCCAAUUCUCUUUAUCUGUGAGUGAACUUCUUGCAGGCUCUUAUAUGACUCGGGUCCAGUCACCCACGGGUACAAAAGGUUAUACAUAAGGUUGUGUCAUGUGGUGGUCUUGCACUGGUUGCUACUUGAGAUGUGGUUGAAGAACAUACAUCCAACAAUAGGUUCCACCCUUGAUUCCAUCAAUUUUCUUUCAACAGCAGAUCUGUGUAUAUUGCUGAUAGUGUUCUUAGAAUACCUUAGGAAAUUAGAAAUGACAGUUUACUGCAAGGCAUUGAUUUAAUGAAUAUGUUCUCUGCCUCUCCUGGCAAUUUGAAGCAAGUAUCACAAGGGUGCUUGUGCUAAAACUCAUCCUUGGAGUUGGAUUUUUUUUUUUUAACAAUAUAAUUGUUGCCU